This 543-nucleotide long non-coding RNA is filed under the name Homo sapiens (human). RNAcentral describes it as "PREDICTED lncRNA (TCONS_00138690)". The record is from RNAcentral. Lineage: Eukaryota; Metazoa; Chordata; Mammalia; Primates; Hominidae.
UCUCCUACCUCAGCCUCCCGAGUAGCUGGGAUUACAGGCAUGUGCCACCACACCUGGCUGAUCUUUCUUUUAGUAGAGAUGGGGUUUCACCAUGUUGUCCAGGCUGGUCUCGAACUCCUGACUUCGUGAUCCACCCACCUUGGCCUCCCAAAGUGCUGGGAUUACAGAUUUCCAGGGUCUUUGAAGAUGUUAGUUCACUGUUUAUUCAUGUGGGUUCCUGUAAAUGUCUGCAGCCAAUCUGGAAGUGGAGCUGUAUUUGGAACUUUUUGAAUCUAAAUCAGUUUGGGAGAAGUGAGUCUUUUCAGAAUUUGACCUUUCAAUGAAUGUCUCAAAUUUGUUUACGUCAUCUUUAAUGUUUUCAAUACUGUCUUCAAAACAAUUUGAGGGAAUAUCUUGACAAGCGCCAGACAACUGAACCCCUAGAAACUUCAGGUGGUUAGCCUGAAUGUUUGGGUGUAUUCCCCAACAAACAUUCACGUCUGUCUUACGAAAGAACUCAUAAAGGCAUCAAUAGAGAGGACAAGUUGUGGGAUGUAAAGAUGA